RNAcentral lists this ribosomal RNA (301 nucleotides) under uncultured bacterium. Its description in RNAcentral is "partial 16S ribosomal RNA". It matches the Rfam family "Bacterial small subunit ribosomal RNA", at positions 509 to 808 of the family's 1533-position model. The record is from RNAcentral.
CAGUGCCGCGGGAAUACAGAGGGUGCGAGCGUUAAUCGGAUUUACUGGGCGUAAAGCGUGCGUAGGCGGCUAAUUGAGUCGGAUGUGAAAUCCCCGAGCUUAACUUGGGAAUUGCAUUCGAUACUGGUUAGCUAGAGUGUGGGAGAGGAUGGUAGAAUUCCAGGUGUAGCGGUGAAAUGCGUAGAGAUCUGGAGGAAUACCGAUGGCGAAGGCAGCCAUCUGGCCUAACACUGACGCUGAGGUACGAAAGCAUGGGGAGCAAACAGGAUUAGAUACCCCAGUAGUCCCUGUCUCUUAUACA